Molecule: unclassified non-coding RNA, 155 nt
Filed under: uncultured Syzygospora
Lineage: Eukaryota; Fungi; Basidiomycota; Tremellomycetes; Tremellales; Syzygosporaceae
Description: sequence contains ITS2
Source: RNAcentral
AACCUCACACUCUAGAGUUUUCUCUAGAGACGUGGAUUUGGGUGUUGCAAUUUGCUCACCUUGAAUGACUUAGUGGUUCCUACCGUAGCCUGAUGUAAUAAGUUUCAUCUGGUCAAGGGAAGACUGCUUCUAAUCGCCUUACGGCACUAUUUAAG